GGGUGUAGCAAUACACCAGUGGCGAACGGGUGAGUAAUGUAUCGCUAACGUGCCCCUAUGUCCGGGAUAGCCGUCCGAAAGGACGGGUAAUACCGGGUAAGACCACAAUCCCGCAUGGGAUGGUGCUCAAAGGGAAACCGCAAAGGGAGCGGGCGAUAUCGUAUCAGCUAGUUGGUGAGGUAACGGCUCACCAAGGCGACGACGCGUAGCCGGGCUGAGAGGUCGGCCGGCCACAUUGGGACUGAGACACUGCCCAGACUCCUACGGGGGGCUGCAGUAACGAAUCUUCCGCAAUGCACGCAAGUGUGACGGAGCGACGCCGCGUGGAGGACGAAGUUCUUCGGAAUGUAAACUCCUGUCAGGGGCAGCCAAGUUCUGAGGCGCCCCAGAGGAAGGCACGGCUAACUCUGUGCCAGCAGCCGCGGUAAGACAGAGGUGCCAAGCGUUAGGCGGAAUCACUGGGCUUAAAGCGUGUGUAGGCGGGCGGGCAAGUACCUUGUGAAAUCCCACGGCUCAACCGUGGAACGGCUGGGUAUACUGCCUGUCUUGAGCCAGCUAGGGGCGACCGGAACAGACGGUGGAGCGGUGAAAUGCGUAGAUAUCGUCUGGAACGCCAAAGGUGAAAACAGGUCGCUGGGGCUGAGCUGACGCUGAGACACGAAAGCCAGGGGAGCGAACGGGAUUAGAUACCCCGGUAGUCCUGGCCCUAAACGAUGUCGACUAGAUCGCAGGACCUCUGACGGUUUUGCGGUCGCAGCAAAAGUGCUAAGUCGACCGCCUGGGAAGUACGGUCGCAAGGCUAAAACUC
Molecule: ribosomal RNA, 808 nt
Filed under: uncultured Aquificia bacterium
Lineage: Bacteria; Pseudomonadati; Aquificota; Aquificia
Description: bacterial SSU rRNA
Rfam family: Bacterial small subunit ribosomal RNA
Source: RNAcentral